CAAGCGAUAAUUUAACCCCCCCAGAAUUUUGGCCUUGGGUGCUAAAAGUGGAAGUGAAAAUCUUUCUCGUUUGA
This 74-nucleotide transfer RNA is filed under the name Desmognathus fuscus (dusky salamander). Its description in RNAcentral is "tRNA-Pro". It matches the Rfam family "tRNA". Rfam says of the family: Transfer RNA (tRNA) molecules are approximately 80 nucleotides in length. Their secondary structure includes four short double-helical elements and three loops (D, anti-codon, and T loops). Lineage: Eukaryota; Metazoa; Chordata; Amphibia; Caudata; Plethodontidae. The record is from RNAcentral.